UAUAUAUAUAUAUAUAUAUAUAUAUAUAUAUAUAUAUAUAUAUAUAUAUAUACUCCAGACUGGUUCUGUGUGUAUGUGUGUGUAUAUAUAUGUGUGUAUAUAUAUAUACUCCAGACUGGUUCUGUGUGUGUGUGUAUAUAUAUAUAUAUAUAUAUAUAUAUAUAUAUAUAUAUAUAUAUAUAUACACACACACAUAUACACACAUAUAUAUAUAUACACACAUAUACACACAGUAUAUACUCACAGUAUAUAUAUUUAUAUUCCAGGUCUCCAACAUUGCUCAUCCUAAUAUUUCUAUAUUUCUUAAUUCCUUUACUUUUUACUGUCACGUCCUGACCAGUAAUAGGGGUUAUUUGUUAUUGUAGUUUGGUCAGGACGUGGCAGAGGGGUGUUUGUUUUAGGUGGUUCGGGCUAUGUAUUUAGGUAGAGGGGUGUUUGGUUUAUGUGGUUCGGGCUAUGUAUUUAGGUAGAGGGGUGUUUGGUUUAUGUGGUUCGGGCUAUGUAUUUAGGUAGAGGGGUGUUUGGUUUAUGUGGUUCGGGCUAUGUAUUUAGGUAGAGGGGUGUUUGGUUUAUGUGGUUCGGGCUAUGUAUUUAGGUAGAGGGGUGUUUGUUUUAUGUGGUUCGGGCUAUGUAUUUAGGUAGAGGGGUGUUUGGUUUAUGUGGUUCGGGCUAUGUAUUUAGGUAGAGGGGUGUUUGUUUUAUGUGGUUCGGGCUAUGUAUUUAGGUAGAGGGGUGUUUGGUUUAUGUCUAUUGUAGUUCUAUGUUUAGUUAAUUGGGGUUGGACCUUCAAUUGGAGUCAGCUGGUUAUCGUUGCCUCUGAUUGAAGGUCCUAUAAUUAGGAGUUUGUUUUGUCAUGGGGUUUUGUGGCAGAUUGUUGCUGUGUAUAGCUUUGUGCCUUACUGGCCUGUUCUUUGUCCUUUAAUAAAAGAAGAUGAGUGUACAUUUUCCCGCUGCGUCUUGGUCUAAACCCUACGACACCUGUGACAUUUACAUUAGGGUGUAUUGUUAGAUACUACUGCACUGUUGGAACCAGGAACACAAGCAUUUCACUACACCCACAAUAACAUCUGCUAAAUAUGUGUAUGUGACCAAUAACAUUUUUAUUUGAUUGUAUUUUUGAAAGUGUUACAUAAUUCUCAAUCCGCUUUGCGUCGUGCCUAAAAACAGCACUUAGCCGUGGUACUGUAUAUUAGCCAUAUACUGUCACCACUUCCACCGAAGUCAUUUCCUCUCCUUGUUCGGCGGUCGGCGUCACCGGUCUUCUAGUCAUCGUGGAUCCACUUUUUUUCAUUUUCCAUUUGUUUUGUCUUGUUUUCUUACACAUCUGGUUUCCAUUUCCAUCAUGAAUUGUUGUGUAUUUAACCCUCUGUUCCCCCCAUGUCCUUGUGUGGAAUUGUUUGUUUGUAAGUGCUUGUACUCUGUUACUGGUGCGCAUCGGGUUUUGUACCCAUGUAGGUUCGUUUUGUAUUAAACUGCUCCGGCUAUUACCUAUC
Molecule: long non-coding RNA, 1493 nt
Filed under: Salmo salar (Atlantic salmon)
Lineage: Eukaryota; Metazoa; Chordata; Actinopteri; Salmoniformes; Salmonidae
Description: lncRNA (ENSSSAG00000113217.1)
Source: RNAcentral